AUCGGGUACUGAAAAUAACCGCUUUGCUUCAAGUUAGGAAUUGAAAAUAGGUCCAUUAAUCUUUUGGGCUACCAGGUGAUAAUUUGGUCAUUUCUGUUUUGGCCAAAAAGAAAAAAAGAAAAAAAUCAGAAAUGAUGCAAGACUGAACUAGUAAAAGUCCCUUGGCCUACCCACCACUUCUGUUUUUUUUCACAUUGUAGCAGCUCAGAGGCAGUCUUUCAAUCUAAAAUAAAUACUUUCGGGUCCUAUCAUCCCAGUAUCAAAAGACUCAGUCUGCUACAAGAUUCCUACUUUUUGUUUGCAACUUACUGUCUCCAAGGCAAGAAAAGUGGUGGACAAAAUGAGGAGGAGCCAUUUGUGUUCAAAGACCCUCUGGUCUAGUAGGUAAGAGAGGAUCUUCUACUGAUACAGGCUGGGGAUUGAGAAGGACUCGCAAGCCCUUCAAAGGACAAUGAAACACAAGAACGUACUAGUAGUGAUUAUAGAUUUAUUUUCAUCUGAGUACUUUUCUGUAUCUUUCAAAUUUUCUGUAGAAAGCAUAUAUAGAUUUUAUUUAAAAAUAUAAAAAAAAAACCAAUAGCAGGUACAGACUGCAAAAUGAAAAACAAAUGAAUAAAUAGGAAGGGAGAAACAAAGAUUUGAAGGUCUAUCUUUGCUUUAGACAGAGUUCUUCUUUCUCCAGUUUAAAACAGGAUCUUAACUUGUCAGAUGUAAUUUGAGAUAGCCAUCAUUUUUUCAUGCUAAAAAUGACUGUUUAGAUAAAUAUAUCUUUCCAAUUAUAGAACUUCAAAAAAAUUAAAUUUU
Molecule: long non-coding RNA, 804 nt
Filed under: Equus caballus (horse)
Lineage: Eukaryota; Metazoa; Chordata; Mammalia; Perissodactyla; Equidae
Description: lncRNA (ENSECAG00000055143.1)
Source: RNAcentral